GCACCUGCCGCUGGCCUCUGAGCGGCUGUGGAGCGGCGUUGGGCGCGCCCUGGGACCCUCACAGCGCUCACCGAAGGACACUUUCGGGCCCGGGUCCCGAGGCUCCGGCCGCAGACCCGAGGAGGAAAGGACCUAUUCUCCGUUCUUUUUCAGCAUCCCGGUCUUUCCCUCUUCUCUGCCCAGCAUGGCCCGAAACGACAGGAGAGCCUCUUCUGGAUCGGCCUUUCCAACCGCGGGCUGGAGGGAUUCUGCAUGAGGAUGGAGUCGCCGGUUUCCCGGGACCCACGCACAGCAGGCAUUUAGAGUUAGGCUGCUGCUCUUAUUUAAAGAGGGCUGAGAACACCCGCAAUCUGUUGGGAAGAAGUUCAGUUAGAAGACUUUCUUCACAUCUUGAGAAAGAAGGGAUUGAACCCCUUUCCUUUAGAGAACAGCCCUCUAUUUCGUCUGGGGCUCGUUACAGCAAGCACAGCUGAGGACUGCCUCCAGGAAUCUAGAAGAGCUUCCAGUGGAGCCCAUGGAAGAAUUGAAAGAAGUGGAAAAUUAUGCAAACCGCGUCUGUAACUUACCAGAGGCAAAAGAAGCAUUUUCUCAUGGUUGUGAAAAGGAAAGCAGACAGCCUAGACAUGAGUUUAAAGAGUUCCAACUCAAACCAGGAGUGCCAGUAAAGGAGGUUGAAAUGUGUCGAGAAGGCUUGUCUGACAUAGCUCUGAGCAGCCCCAGUGAACAGACUGCACACUUACUCAUGGAAAGAAGUACAAUCUUGAGGAAACUGGAAUUUGGGGAUCCCAAGCAAGAGUCACAAAGAGAUCUGAGCCAUAGCCUCCAGAAAGAAUUUCCCCAGGAGAAAUUUGAACAAAUCUACCAGCCUCUGCAAAGGGAACAUCAGAGACAUCAAGAACCUGCACAUCAGUCUAGAAAAAAUUUGAGCGAGGUG
This 934-nucleotide long non-coding RNA is filed under the name Sus scrofa (pig). Its description in RNAcentral is "lncRNA (ENSSSCG00035073405.1)". Lineage: Eukaryota; Metazoa; Chordata; Mammalia; Artiodactyla; Suidae. The record is from RNAcentral.